RNAcentral lists this ribosomal RNA (481 nucleotides) under uncultured bacterium. Its description in RNAcentral is "partial 16S ribosomal RNA". It matches the Rfam family "Bacterial small subunit ribosomal RNA", at positions 28 to 507 of the family's 1533-position model. The record is from RNAcentral.
GAUGAACGCUGGCGGCGUGCUUAACACAUGCAAGUCGAACGAAGCAUUUAGAACAGAUUACUUCGGUUUGAAGUUCUUUAUGACUGAGUGGCGGACGGGUGAGUAACGCGUGGGUAACCUGCCUUGUACUGGGGGAUAGCAGCUGGAAACGGCUGGUAAUACCGCAUAAGCGCACAAUGUUGCAUGACAUGGUGUGAAAAACUCCGGUGGUAUAAGAUGGACCCGCGUCUGAUUAGCUAGUUGGUGAGAUAACAGCCCACCAAGGCGACGAUCAGUAGCCGACCUGAGAGGGUGACCGGCCACAGUGGGACUGAGACACGGCCCAGACUCCUACGGGAGGCAGCAGUGGGGAAUAUUGCACAAUGGAGGAAACUCUGAUGCAGCGACGCCGCGUGAGUGAAGAAGUAAUUCGUUAUGUAAAGCUCUAUCAGCAGGGAAGAUAGUGACGGUACCUGACUAAGAAGCUCCGGCUAAAUACAUG